GAGUUUGAUCCUGGCUCAGGACGAACGCUGGCGGCGCGCCUAACACAUGCAAGUCGAACGGAGCUUAGAGAGCUUGCUUUUUAAGCUUAGUGGCGAACGGGUGAGUAACGCGUGGGUAACCUGCCUUAUACAGGGGGAUAACAGUCAGAAAUGGCUGCUAAUACCGCAUAAGCGCACAGAGCUGCAUGGCUCAGUGUGAAAAACUCCGGUGGUAUAAGAUGGACCCGCGUUGGAUUAGCUAGUUGGUGGGGUAACGGCCCACCAGGGCGACGAUCCAUAGCCGGCCUGAGAGGGUGAACGGCCACAUUGGGACUGAGACACGGCCCAGACUCCUACGGGAGGCAGCAGUGGGGAAUAUUGCACAAUGGGGGAAACCCUGAUGCAGCGACGCCGCGUGAAGGAAGAAGUAUCUCGGUAUGUAAACUUCUAUCAGCAGGGAAGAUAGUGACGGUACCUGACUAAGAAGCCCCGGCUAACUACGUGCCAGCCGCCGCGGUAAUAC
RNAcentral lists this ribosomal RNA (502 nucleotides) under uncultured bacterium. Its description in RNAcentral is "bacterial SSU rRNA". It matches the Rfam family "Bacterial small subunit ribosomal RNA", at positions 9 to 526 of the family's 1533-position model. The record is from RNAcentral.